This 23-nucleotide non-coding RNA is filed under the name Arabidopsis thaliana (thale cress). Lineage: Eukaryota; Viridiplantae; Streptophyta; Magnoliopsida; Brassicales; Brassicaceae. The record is from RNAcentral.
GGGAGCUUAGUGUUUGCUUACUA